UGGAAGUACAAAUGUCACAGGCUUCUUCUUAGUCGACAACUUCUACCACUUCUGGCCUUCAGGGUUAUUUAGCAGCUUUUUUGUGCAUCUAAAAGUCUGCUAACUUGAGUUGGACUCAUUCUGCAUCAGUUACAAGUUUGUGUGCACAGAGGCUGGCAGCAGCUGGUGGUAAUCUGCAAUCAGCGGGAGCAGUGCAGGAGCAGGUGGGAGCAGCCCAAUCAGCCACUCCAGCUCCUCUACAUAACCUGACGCCACUCGUCUCUGGACCGUGAACGUUCUCCAGUCAGUGCAGCGCGCUGUUCAGCUUUGGCUCCUUGCUUUGUGCUUUUUGUGAUCCUGUUUUUGCGCCGUUCUAGACCAGCUCCUACCUCCCCGGAAUCCUGGUUUCCGCCAUCUAGAAUUCUUCUAGACAAUCCAGACUGGGCCAUUCUGGAUCAGCUUGGUCUCCCUCUGUUCUCACUCCUGUCCAAACUGGUUCACUUCCUCCUGCCUCUCCAUUGCCAGAACCCAGCUUCCGCCACACCGUCUCCGACGCCAGCUGCCGGCUACGCCCACGCCAGCCACAAACAGCGGCAGCCGCCAUUCCACCGUGGAACGCCAGCCACUCCAUCAGCUAAGUUCCUUGUUCAUUGUUUUUCGUGUUUUACUAGAAAUUAUCUUUAACAAAACUGCGAAAAUCUGUGAAAUAACAGUUUUAAAAAAACAUUUUAUCAGAGUUUUUCUUCCACAAACAGUAAAUAUCUGUUAAAAAAAAAACAACAACAACAUUGUUGGGUUAUUAAAACA
Amphiprion ocellaris (clown anemonefish) is the source of this 786-nucleotide long non-coding RNA. The record is from Ensembl. NCBI's taxonomy places the organism in Eukaryota, Metazoa, Chordata, Actinopteri, Pomacentridae.